This 72-nucleotide transfer RNA is filed under the name subsurface metagenome. RNAcentral describes it as "tRNA-Thr". It matches the Rfam family "tRNA". Rfam says of the family: Transfer RNA (tRNA) molecules are approximately 80 nucleotides in length. The record is from RNAcentral.
GCCGAUGUAGCUCAAUGGCAGAGCACAGCUUUCGUAAAGCUGAGGUUGAGGGUCCGACUCCCUCCAUCGGCU